RNAcentral lists this transfer RNA (65 nucleotides) under Myrmedobia distinguenda. RNAcentral's name for it is "tRNA-Met". Lineage: Eukaryota; Metazoa; Arthropoda; Insecta; Hemiptera; Microphysidae. The record is from RNAcentral.
AAAAAGGUAAGCUAAAUAAGCUAUUAGGCUCAUAACCUAAGUAUAGAAAUCUAUUCUUCUUUUUA